RNAcentral lists this ribosomal RNA (489 nucleotides) under uncultured Leptolinea sp. RNAcentral describes it as "bacterial SSU rRNA". It matches the Rfam family "Bacterial small subunit ribosomal RNA", at positions 903 to 1382 of the family's 1533-position model. The record is from RNAcentral. Lineage: Bacteria; Bacillati; Chloroflexota; Anaerolineae; Anaerolineales; Anaerolineaceae.
CCUUGCCAGCCCGCUCAAGAAACUUAAAGGAAUUGACGGGCCCCGCACAAGCAGCGGAGCGUGUGGUUUAAUUCGAUGCUACACGAAGAACCUUACCAGGGCUUGACAUGCAAGUGGUAGGAAACCGAAAGGCGACCGACCCUUCGGGGAGCUUGCACAGGUGCUGCAUGGCUGUCGUCAGCUCGUGUCGUGGGAUGUUCGGUUAAGUCCGCUAACGAGCGCAACCCUCGCUGUGUGUUACAAGUGUCACACGGUACUGCCGGUCUUAAGCCGGAGGAAGGUGGGGAUGACGUCAAGUCAGCAUGGCCUUUAUGUCCUGGGCUACACACACGCUACAAUGGCCAACACAAUAGGUUGCUAAGCCGCGAGGUGGAGCCAAUCCUCAAAGUUGGUCUCAGUUCAGAUUGCAGUCUGAAACUCGACUGCAUGAAGUCGGAGUUGCUAGUAACCGCAUAUCAGAAUGGUGCGGUGAAUACGUUCUCGGGCCUU